UACAGAGGUCUCAAGCGUUGUUCGGAUUCAUUGGGCGUAAAGGGUGCGUAGGUGGCGCCGUAAGUCAGGUGUGAAAUCUCGGGACUCAACCCCGAAACUGCACUUGAUACUGCGGUGCUCGAGUACUGGAGAGGAGAUUGGAAUUUACGGUGUAGCAGUGAAAUGCGUAGAUAUCGUAAGGAAGACCAGUGGCGAAGGCGAAUCUCUGGACAGUUACUGACACUGAGGCACGAAGGCCAGGGGAGCAAACGGG
RNAcentral lists this ribosomal RNA (253 nucleotides) under uncultured bacterium. RNAcentral describes it as "partial 16S ribosomal RNA". It matches the Rfam family "Bacterial small subunit ribosomal RNA", at positions 524 to 776 of the family's 1533-position model. The record is from RNAcentral.